CUUCGGAAUCUGCCCAAUGGUGGGGAAUAACCAGCCGAAAGGUUGGCUAAUACCGCAUACGUCCUCUUUCCUUAUUGGGGAGUGGAGAAAGCAGGGGAUCGUAAGACCUUGCGCCAAUGGAUGAGCCGAAGUCGGAUUAGCUAGUUGGUAGGGUAACGGCCUACCAAGGCGACAAUCCGUAGCUGGUCUGAGAGGACGACCAGCCACACUGGGACUGAGACACGGCCCAG
RNAcentral lists this ribosomal RNA (230 nucleotides) under uncultured bacterium. RNAcentral's name for it is "partial 16S ribosomal RNA". It matches the Rfam family "Bacterial small subunit ribosomal RNA", at positions 116 to 334 of the family's 1533-position model. The record is from RNAcentral.